GUUGAACGCUGGCGGCGUGCCUAACACAUGCAAGUCGAGCGAUUUACUUCGGUAAAGAGCGGCGGACGGGUGAGUAACGCGUGGGUAACCUGCCCUGUACACACGGAUAACAUACCGAAAGGUAUGCUAAUACGAGAUAAUAUACUUUUAUCGCAUGGUAGAAGUAUCAAAGCUUUUGCGGUACAGGAUGGACCCGCGUCUGAUUAGCUAGUUGGUAAGGUAACGGCUUACCAAGGCGACGAUCAGUAGCCGACCUGAGAGGGUGAUCGGCCACAUUGGAACUGAGACACGGUCCAAACUCCUACGGGAGGCAGCAGUGGGGAAUAUUGCACAAUGGGCGAAAGCCUGACGCAGCAACGCCGCGUGAGCGAUGAAGGCCUUCGGGUCGUAAAGCUCUGUCCUCAAGGAAGAUAAUGACGGUACUUGAGGAGGAAGCCCCGGCUAACUACGUGCCAGCAGCCGCGGUAA
RNAcentral lists this ribosomal RNA (468 nucleotides) under uncultured bacterium. Its description in RNAcentral is "partial 16S ribosomal RNA". It matches the Rfam family "Bacterial small subunit ribosomal RNA", at positions 28 to 523 of the family's 1533-position model. The record is from RNAcentral.